GGGUGAACCUCUUCCUUCUGUAGAGCGAAGCAGGAUCAGGAACAAGAGCUCUUACAAGAGCUCAGUAGCUAAUGCAGAGCAUAGCAAUCCCUGUAGUGAUUAUAGCUGUCUCCUACAAACACGAGUCGAGGCGGCGCGUUAGAGGGUCAAGAAGAUCUGUUUAAUCGGCACCAAAGGGCGUUUUUUACGCAAAGUUACCACUCACAUGGUCUUGUGGAACAGCCAAACACAUG
Non-coding RNA from Pelobates cultripes (western spadefoot toad), 233 nucleotides. NCBI's taxonomy places the organism in Eukaryota, Metazoa, Chordata, Amphibia, Anura, Pelobatidae. The record is from the annotation of a GenBank genome assembly.